RNAcentral lists this ribosomal RNA (440 nucleotides) under uncultured bacterium. RNAcentral describes it as "partial 16S ribosomal RNA". It matches the Rfam family "Bacterial small subunit ribosomal RNA", at positions 338 to 795 of the family's 1533-position model. The record is from RNAcentral.
CCUACGGGAGGCUGCAGUGGGGAAUAUUGCACAAUGGGGGAAACCCUGAUCCAGCCACGCCGCGUGCGUGAAGAAGUAUUUCGGUAUGUUAAGCUCUAUUAGUAGGGAAGAGAAUGACGUUACCUGAGUAAGAAGCCCCGGCUAACGCCGGGCCAGCCGCCGCGGUCAUAUGUCGGGGGCCAGCGUUAUCCGGAUUUACUGGGUGUAAAGGGGGCGUAGACGGUGUAAGAAGUCUGAAGUGAAAUGCCUGGGCUCAACCGCGGAACUGCUUUGGAUACUUUUGUGCUGGCGAACCGGGGAGGUAAGCGGAAUUCCGAGUGUAGCGGUGAAAUGCGUAGAUAUUAGGAGGAACACCAGUGGCGAAGGCGGCUUACUGGACGGUAACUGACGUUGAGGCUCGAAAGCGUGGGGAGCAAACAGGAUUAGAUACCCUUGUAGUC